Molecule: long non-coding RNA, 555 nt
Organism: Nicotiana attenuata
Lineage: Eukaryota; Viridiplantae; Streptophyta; Magnoliopsida; Solanales; Solanaceae
Exons: 3
Source: RefSeq, a predicted model, not a curated record
GGUACUAUUGCAAAAGGAGCUGCCCUUUUACAUCAAGAAGGAGCCAGGGAAGUUUAUGCAUGCACCACUCAUGCGGUUUUCAGCCCUCCUGCGAUAGAGAGGUUGUCGAGUGGACUGUUUCAGGAGGUAAUUAUCACAAAUACCAUUCCGGUGGCAGAACAAAACUAUUUUCCCCAGCUGACCAUCUUGUCUGUUGCAAACCUCUUGGGCGAAACGAUUUGGCGUGUCCAUGAUGACUGUGCAGGCGGCUUUGAGCCUUACUCCGGCUUGGGAAUUGAUUAGUCCUUCCUGUUCAUUGCUUGUUUUGACACUGUUAUCUGGAUCUUGAAGCAGAAUUUUAUUGUUGUCUGGAACUUGAAGCAGUAUUUUUACUGUUGUCUGGAACUUGAAGCAGUAUGUAAAUCCACCAAAAUUUUCGUCCAGUAACAAAGAGCAUUUUCUGUUGUACAAAUAUUUUGUGCGGAAUGUUACGUUGUAAAUCUUUCAAUCAGUGACUUGGAUCCAUGUAGUAGAUGAGUUUUUUGAUUAAUAUGAAGCUUACUUGAAUUGCUAUUA